This 643-nucleotide long non-coding RNA is filed under the name Bos taurus (domestic cattle). Its description in RNAcentral is "long non-coding RNA NONBTAT002947". Lineage: Eukaryota; Metazoa; Chordata; Mammalia; Artiodactyla; Bovidae. The record is from RNAcentral.
AAUAAAAUAAGAAAGCUUGCUAUGUAUGAUCUAUGGUAAGAUUUCCAUGAUUAUUAACUAAAGCCAAGGUGAAAAUAAAAAAUGGGUGGAAUAUGACCAUAUAGUUGUAUACAAAUAUAUAAAGUCACCUUGGAGACAUCGUAAUACACCAGUAUUUAAGUAAAUACUUAAGUAAAUAUUUAAGUAAAUACAGUAUUUAAUACACCAGUGUAUAAGUAAAUACACUAGUAUUUACUUAUAAAGGGAAAGAGAACAAAUCUGUGAAGAGUUGGGAGCCCCUCUUAAUACCAUUUUGAUUUCUGAAUCAUGUAAAUGUGUUUUCUAUUCAAAAAGUAAAUGAACACAAAAUUCCUGAUCUUGCUCCAAAUAAUCAAAAACAACAUUUAUAUAGUACAUGGCAGAGAAAUGGAUGCUUUUUAUAUUUACUCAAAAUAUACACUGCAAAAAAAAAAAAAGACUAAGCUAGAGAGAGCUGCAAGACACUGACAAAAGCCCUGACUGUGGGCACAAGACAGUCCUGCCGCCUUAAAGUGUCUGUGAAAACCUGAAAGGCAUCUAACACAUAAUGCUUCUCGGUUUGUUUUUUGCAAAAACCACAAAUUCCAUGUGUUUGGGAUCACCUUAUCUGAUGAUAUCCAUGCAU